Aegilops tauschii subsp. strangulata is the source of this 3637-nucleotide non-coding RNA. NCBI's taxonomy places the organism in Eukaryota, Viridiplantae, Streptophyta, Magnoliopsida, Poales, Poaceae. The record is from RefSeq and is a predicted model, not a curated record.
AAAAACAUUAGGAGUGUCGUUGCCGAAUAGCCGAUCGAGCGAAGAACCUGAGCUGAAGAACACACGCACGCGAGAGAGAGGAAAGUCCUUUUGUGCCGCAGCUAACAGCGCAGCGUUUUCGGUUUCAUUCCUUUUCCCUUAUAUCCUGGUACAACCGAAAGCCUAGCUAACAAACUCCGGCCAGCCCGUCGUGAUCCGGAUUGAUUGCGCCAUCCCACGACCUCCUUCUCACAAACGUGCCACUCUGACCGGGUUUACAGAAAAAACCAACAAAGGGAAAAAUGGGAUCGUGCUUAGACCACGUCCCAGCUACGUACAUGCUGCAUACUGACCUAAUCGGUUAGCAUGUGCAAUGCCGAUGCUGUCAGCAGUUCAGGGGUAAUGAAAGGAUCACUUCAGGCAACAAGUGUAUAUACACAUGGUUCCCAAAAUAUUAAAUAUAUCUCUAAAUACCACUGAUUCUCAGCUCUAAUUAGAAGACAAUGUUAAGAUCCGCAUCUUAAAGCAAAAAAAAAAAAAAACCCACUGAAUCUAGCAUUCUCCAAUUAUUCCCCAACGAAGAAAAAUACAAUCAUAAGCCUCGCGAUGGGGAGGGUUGGCCCAUCGCCGCGCUUAACAAUCCCGUAAAAUAGCAAAAUGGCUACAGUAGCGACCCUUCAAGUACAAUAGAUGAAUUGGGCAAUCACCCAAAGGUCCUUUGGGCCGAGCAGGUCUACCCUUUAUGCCACAACAACAUGCGCCCCCUCAGAUAUUCUUCUCACACAUAGAGCAUAGUCUCAACUCUCAAAGAUAGGGAAAAACCAAGUCCUCACCGCCAUCCUCCUGAUGUCUGCCAAGUAUGCAUGGACGAGUUCCCCGGCCAUUUCUACAUCCGGUGGCCUCUAGCUAGUUCACAUUUUGCUACUCUAUUCGCUGCUUUGAUUCUCUUACCCCUCGCGAUGGCCUUGCCUUCAAUCUCUCCAAAGGCCACCAAGGUAUCGAACAUAUAAACCACGCUAGGCAACUCGCCUAGCGAGGGCACUUGCAUCCCGCUUUUGAUCUCGUUCGCUCGAUCUGCCUUGCUGGAGGUUUUUCACCCCGGUGUCAGAAAUCCCACAGCUUGUUUCUUUCCACACCACUCUUUCUUGCUCAGGCGGAUGACAAGUGGGCCUUCGUCUCUCACGGGCCUAGUUUGGAAGUGCGCGUGCUGUGUGUUCGUCGCCCGCGCCUUGCGUGAAAAAUACAUUAACCGCGGCCAUCGUGGAUGAUUCACCCACCAAUCCCGUGUCCUCCUCCCCACCAAUCGCCCGUCCUCCUCGAGGCCAGGGCACAACAAUAGCCAUGCCUCGCCGCCACCUCUCCUUCCCCGCUCAUCCUCUCCAGACGCCGCCGCCGCCACCCCUGUCUCUCCUCCUCUCUCCUCAUCACCAUCAUCACGCGUGCCCACCCAACGAAUCAGGUGGCCAGUGCGGGAUGCAAUGGCGCAUCUGGCCAGAGGAGAACGGAGCGGCUGCAUCUCCUGGCAACGGCAGUGGGGGCGGGCGAGGUUGCAAGGUGACGGCUGAGGCGGCGGCGGUGCCAGCGGAUGGAGGAGCCGCUCUCAGGUCGAGUUGGGCUGGCAAGACUGCAGGGCGACGGCCCCAGGCGGGGGUGCAAGGAUCCGGUCGGUGUGCUGUUGCUGCCGCCGACAGACAGAAGAGGCGCCCUCGGCUGGGUCGAAGUGGCAGCGCUGUCGGUGAUGCCAAGGGGCAAGGAAAUGGGCAAGCAAGACCAGAGAGGGAAGGAACAGGGCGUGGCCUCACACACUGGCUCGUCGUCAGCUUCACCGUUACUUGUAGCUGAAGAAGACAGAUACCAGCAGCCGAUGGCGCCGUCCCAGCUGGUGUUGCUUACCACAGGCUCUGAGGUAUGGUAGGAUGCGAUUCUUAUUUUGAAGAGUGGCACGCUCGAGUUGUGAAUCUGCUGCCAUACGUUGGCUGAGGAAAAAAUAAUGGCACUUAUAAUAUUUGUGCAGCCAAGUUUGCGAGAUUUACAGACUUGAUGCAGUAACACUGUAAAUAGGUAUAGAUUCAGACCUCACCAAAGACAUGUUCAUCCUAUUGCUUGCCUCGGUAUUCCAUAGAUUAUCUGCCCUGUAUGCCUGUUGCUUUCCUAGCUUGGUAAGUUUGUUAGCCUGAAUUUUUUGAGGUGAAUAUGCUAAGUUUACAUGUUGUAAAUAGAUUAUGAUCUAAUAGCCAGCAAUCUCUCCGCACAUUCGCUCACAGUAGUUUGUGUCAUUGAUGUUUUUCUUAAUCUACACAUGCGCUUGUAUCAUGCUCCUCAUAUAUUAGAAUAGAUCAGUUUUGUUCUAAGGUUUUAUUCAUUUAUUUAUUUCUGCGAGGUGGCUAUCCAGUAUUCAAAUUAACCAGACCAUUUUUUACUUACCUAUAGACCAUUUUAGAUCUACUCUGACAACCAAUACGGCCUUCAAGUCCACUAGAAGAAGCAGCUUGUGAAGCAUCCAAGUGGUUAGCCUAGAGCACAUGAAACAAUUACCAGCUCAUCAAAAUUUAUAGCUGAAGUUAGAUAAAAAAAUUAGUAACAGUGAUCAAGUGGAUGUACACCCAACUGGAUUUAUAGUUGAAGCAGAAAUAAAAGGAAACUAGCAACAAAAUAGAUGUGUUACACGAGAUCUGACUUAAAAUGGCAGAUUGCUUGAAGUUGCAGAACUAGCUAACUUGAAAUUACCUCAGGACCAAGGGGGUCUUCUGGGUGUCUUUCUCUACGUACAUGUGAAUAUUUAUAUCCAGAGGAUCCAAUGGCACCAUUCAGAGUGACAUUAGCUGUUUGCUGAACGUUAUUUCUAUCAGAUGCAUUAUCCCCUUGAGUUAUAGCCUAUAGUUCCUCACUUCCUUUGAAGUUCUUGCAAUCCAUACAUUUACAAUUCUUGGAGCAAAGAAUAUUUGCUUGAAAGCAUUCACAGUACUUCUUGAGACACCCUGAUUUUUUGCAGUGCCAGCCUUUAUUAUGUUUGGGAAGUGAAGGUGCUCUAGCAUCCUGAUGGCAGCGAAGAUUAGUCAAAUGCACGAAAAAGAAUCACAAGAAAGUAUUUUAUUUAAAUGCAGUAAACUUAUUUUUGAGUAAUCAUGUUCUUUUUCUGUUUUCCAGGAAGGUACAAAGGCUAAGGUAAAAAAUGAUUUUAGUGGGAGAUUCAACCUGGGAGAGGUGCGCAGAACUACUCAAGAAAAGAGAUUCUACAACUUGAAAAGCACCUCAAGGAAUUGUUAUUUCUGAUUGCAGUUGCAUCCCAGGUGGGCUGAGGUGAUAACAACUGAAUUCUGUUCUACUGCAGAUAGAUUCCGUAUGCACUUAUAUUUGCAUGGGCCCAAGGAUAGUUCUCUUUAUGUUGUAGUACCACUUACAAAUGUAUAUUCUGUGAAAGGAAGCGGAUAAUUUAAAUGGGCCCAAGGGACUUGUGGUGAGGCCUACAAGGCUGGAACACUGUCUCUUGGAUAUUCAUUUGUCAACUAAUACAUGACCAUACUAGAGAAGCACACACCACGCACACACAAGGACCCUAACAUGUUGUAUAUAUGUAUGUGGACAAUCUUUAAAUACCUGGAUGAUAAUCAUUUAAAUACCUGAAUGAUUAUUCUGCAUAAACAAAGUCAUAUUGUCA